Molecule: long non-coding RNA, 1938 nt
Organism: Clupea harengus (Atlantic herring)
Lineage: Eukaryota; Metazoa; Chordata; Actinopteri; Clupeiformes; Clupeidae
Source: Ensembl
UGCCAGGUUAUUUAACUUUGGUAUACGGGCUAGUGAGCCAUGGCAAGCACAUUAGGGAGAGAAUCGUGUGUGACAGACCCCCUUUUUUUAAUCCUAUGUAAUUUAGAGAAGCCUCUAUGGAUGAGCUAACAGAUAUGUCAACAGAAUUUAUGUAGUAGGGGUACUCAAUCAUGUUGGUAACAGAAUACCAUACAUGUGACAUAUACGAGUGAGAAAGACAAAGCUGAAAACCUCUGUUGACUAGAACUGCCAGAUAUACCACAUCUGAAAUCUUGCUUAUGUUGGUGAGUUCACAAGAACUAAACUCGGUUCCUGCACUCCAACUUGUUAUGUAAUAGCUUGUCUUCUAUCUCUUCCAGUAUAUUGGAUCAACGGGUAGGCCAUUGGGUCAAGCUGUUGGACGCGUUCCAUUUGAACAGACUGGCGUGUAUAGUCUUUGAAAUAGGUCUCAUUGGCCAUACAAUGUAAAUGCUGUCCAGAGAAAGUGUGAGAUCACACCUCCUCAGUUGAAUUUACAGCUAUCAUUCCCGUAGAAAGGAAUCAAUUGUUCCACAAUCCAUCACCGAUUGCCACUGUGUUCCUCCACUUACUCCAAAUCUGUAUUUCCGUCGCUGAACCGGUAGAGCAGUAGUAGGUUAAUACCAAGGUGCUGAGUUCAAUGCGAAAAUCGCUUCAGAUAAACAUGUCUGCUAAAUGACUGAAUGUGAAUGUAACGCUGCCCAGAUAAGCUUUUCUAAUCCCAGUUGAUCCCUGUCUGGGCUUUUUUUGAAUACAAAGAGUGUGCAUGAGAGACUGGACUUACCCAAUUCACACCACCAGCAGCAAUGCUGUGUUCUUACUCUUUUGUGUCAAACUGUGGAAAAGGAUGAAGGGCAUAUCAGAUUUCAGCCACUGAAACUGAGACUUGGAUUGUGCCGCAUGACGGUGUGAGCUGUCCAAAGGACGUGUGCAAAUGAUGGGCACAGGCAGCAAAGCGGGAUGAGAUCGACAUCUGCACUCUGACAGGACGCAGAUGGAGGCUGGUUGGCAGGAGCAUGCGAUGAAGGAGGGAGAUAAGUGGCUGUGGCCGUGGUGGAGGAAGUACCAGUCCAGAUAUUAUUUUCAACAAUACAUACAACCUGGGUAUGAAUUGCAGUGGAUUAAAGAAAAUAGUCAUACAACGGUCUAAAUGGAGAUUUAAAGGACCAAGCACCUGCGGAUCAAAGUUGCUACUCUUCAGAGAAGGUUCUGAUGUUGUUUCAUUAUCUCGAUCUGAUGGUGAUGAAUACUGGUAUGUGCUGACACAAGGAGCCCUUCACCCAGGGAACCUCACUGAAGGGCUUCUGCUGUGCUCACUAGCCAACACAUUCAUGACGUCAAGAUGAUGGAAAAGGCAAAACUCAUGACAUGAUUCUCAAAAGUAAUGUUUAGGAGGUACAGUGGAGAGAUAUUUUUGUACACAGUGGAGGUGGACAUUUUCAAACCUCCUGAAAGUCUGUCAUGCUGUUCUUGCAGCCUGAGCUUAGCAUGCCAUCCUGACUCAGUAUAUGGCAUUCCUGUAAACAAAUGAUAGCGUUGCUUGUUUCUCAGUUGACAUGCAGGGAGAUAGAAAACAGCACUUUGUUGUCACAUAUCUAGGUAUUUUGUAACAUUCACACAGCCAGUUCCGGUCACAGGCAUGCUGAUACACUGCAUGUAGAGAUUCACUUAUCUCCUACUUCUAUGCAUAGCAUUGGACUGAGAGGAAUGGAAUGUGAGGUUGGUAAUGAAUAAAACAUGCUGAGGUAAAUCUUUCUCACGUUCAUUCUUUCUCUCUGUCUGUCUUUCAUACACACGCACGCACACAUACACACCCCCCCACACACAUACACACAGACACACACAUAGACACACACACACACACACACACACACACACACACACACACACACACACACACACACACACACACCCCCCCCC